GGUUUGAUCUGGCUCAGAUUGAACGCUGGCGGGAUGCUUUACACAUGCAAGUCGAACGGCAGCACGGACUUCGGUCUGGUGGCGAGUGGCGAACGGGUGAGUAAUGUAUCGGAACGUGCCUAGUAGCGGGGGAUAACUACGCGAAGGCGUAGCUAAUACCAUACGCCUUCGGGGAAAGCGGGGGACCGGGCCUCACUAUUAGAGCAGCCGAUAUCGGAUUAGCUAGUUGGUGGGGUAACGGCUCACAGGCGACGAUCCGUAGCUGGUUUGAGAGGACGACCAGCCACGCUGGGACUGAGACACGGACGGGCUCACGGGAGGCAGCAGUGGGGAAUUUUGGACAAUGGGGGAAGCCUGAUCCAGCCGCGUGUGCGAUGAAGGCCUUCGGGUUGUAAAGCACUUUUGGCAGGAAAGAAACGGCACGGGAUAUUUACCCCGUGCAACUGACGGUACCUGCAAGAAUAAGCACCGGCUAACUACGUGCCAGCAGCCGCGGUAAUACGUAGGGUGCAAGCGUUAAUCCGGGUCUGGAGCGUAAAGCGUGCGCAGGCGGUUCGGAAAGAAAGAUGUGAAAUCCCAGAGCAACUUUGGAACUGCAUUUUUAACUACCGAGCUAGAGUGUGUCAGAGGAGGUGGAAUUCCGCGUGUAGCAGUGAAAUGCGUGAAUAUGCGGAGGAACACCGAUGGCGAAGGCAGCCUCCUGGAAAGUAACACUGACGCUCAUGCACGAAAGCGUGGGGAGCAAACGGAUUAGACACCCUGGUAGUCCACGCCUAAACGAUGUCCAGCUAAUUUGGGGCCUUCGGGCCUUGUUAGCGCAGCUAACGCUGAGAUUGACCGCCUGGGAGGUCGCAAGAUUAAAACUCAAAGGAAUUGACGGGGACGCACAAACGAUGGAUGAUGGAUUAAUUCCGAAUGCAACGCGAAAAGCCUUACCCUACCCUUGACAUGUCUGGAAUCCCGAAGAGAUUUGGGGUGCUCGCAAAGAGGAACCGGAACACACAGGUGCUGCACGCGAAAACAUGCGUCAGCUCGUGUCGUCGUGAGAUGUUGAGUUAAGUCCCCGCAACGAGCGCAACCCACUUGUCAUUAGUUGCUACGAAAGGGCACUCUAUUAGGGACUGCCGCCGGUGACAAACCGGAGGAAGAUGAGGGAUGACGUCAAGUCCUCAUGGCCCUUAUGGGUGGGGCUUCACACGUCAUACAAUGGUCGGGACAGAGGGUCGCCAACCCGCGAAGGGAGGCCAAUCGAAACCCGAUCGUAGUCGGAUCGCAGUCUGCAACUCGACCGUGAAGUCGGAAUCGCUAGUAAUCGCGGAUCAGCAUGUCGCGGUGAACCCGCGUUCCCGGGUCUUGUACACCGCCCGUCACACCAUGGGAGUGGGUUUACCAGAAGUAGUUGGCCUAACCGUAAGGGCGAUUACCACGGUAAGUUCAUGACUGGGGUGAAAUCGUAACAAAA
This 1462-nucleotide ribosomal RNA is filed under the name uncultured Bordetella sp. RNAcentral describes it as "partial 16S-23S ribosomal RNA intergenic spacer". It matches the Rfam family "Bacterial small subunit ribosomal RNA". The record is from RNAcentral. Lineage: Bacteria; Pseudomonadati; Pseudomonadota; Betaproteobacteria; Burkholderiales; Alcaligenaceae.